UGGGGAAUAUUGGACAAUGGGCGCAAGCCUGAUCCAGCCAUGCCGCGUGAGUGAUGAAGGCCCUAGGGUUGUAAAGCUCUUUCACCGGUGAAGAUAAUGACGGUAACCGGAGAAGAAGCCCCGGCUAACUUCGUGCCAGCAGCCGCGGUAAUACGAAGGGGGCUAGCGUUGUUCGGAUUUACUGGGCGUAAAGCGCACGUAGGCGGACUUUUAAGUCAGGGGUGAAAUCCCGGGGCCCAACCCCGGAACUGCCUUUGAUACUGGAAGUCUUGAGUAUGGUAGAGGUGAGUGGAAUUCCGAGUGUAGAGGUGAAAUUCGUAGAUAUUCGGAGGAACACCAGUGGCGAAGGCGGCUCACUGGACCAUUACUGACGCUGAGGUGCGAAAGCGUGGGGAGCAAACAGG
Molecule: ribosomal RNA, 404 nt
Filed under: Pseudomonas sp.
Lineage: Bacteria; Pseudomonadati; Pseudomonadota; Gammaproteobacteria; Pseudomonadales; Pseudomonadaceae
Also listed under: 3 other names
Description: partial 16S ribosomal RNA
Rfam family: Bacterial small subunit ribosomal RNA
Source: RNAcentral